Numida meleagris (helmeted guineafowl) is the source of this 620-nucleotide long non-coding RNA. The record is from Ensembl. NCBI's taxonomy places the organism in Eukaryota, Metazoa, Chordata, Aves, Galliformes, Numididae.
UCCCAUCCCAUUGUUCCCAUCCCAUCCCAUCCCAUUGUUCCCAUCCCAUCCCAUCCCAUCCCAUUGUUCCCAUCCCAUCCCAUCCCAUCCCAUCCCAUUGUUCCCAUCCCAUCCCAUCCCAUUCCAUCCCAUUGUUCCCAUCCCAUCCCAUCCCAUCCCAUCCCAUUGUCCCCAUCCCGUCCCGUUCUUCCCACCCCAUUGCUGCUGCCCUCACUCUGUGCCCCGCUCCAACCCCAAAUUCCGCACCCCCCCCUUGGGGUCUGACCCGGGGCAGGCAGCGCUCCGGGGGGGGGGCACCGUGCCCCAUGGGGACGGGGCAGGAGCCUUGGGCCCCCCAGGUUCUGCUCCUUUGGGGCCGACCCCACAUCCGUGGGGCCGAGCGCGCAUCCUUUGGGGCGUCCUCCCCCUAUGGGGCCGUGCUCCAGCCCCAGCUCUCCCAGGCCCGCUGCCUCUGGUUCCGGGAGUUAAUUAACGCAGCUAAUUAGCACGAUGUUAGACAGCUCUCCCUCUGCCCACAGGGUGGCGCUCUGGAUUGCGGUGCCCUGCCCCAUAGAGCGGAGAGCUGCUAUAGGGCCGGCUGUGCCCCAUAGCGCAAGGAGCUGCUAUAGGGCCGGCUGUGC